RNAcentral lists this ribosomal RNA (475 nucleotides) under Flavobacterium sp. DB4.2-5. Its description in RNAcentral is "bacterial SSU rRNA". It matches the Rfam family "Bacterial small subunit ribosomal RNA", at positions 13 to 489 of the family's 1533-position model. The record is from RNAcentral. Lineage: Bacteria; Pseudomonadati; Bacteroidota; Flavobacteriia; Flavobacteriales; Flavobacteriaceae.
UUGAUCCUGGCUCAGGAUGAACGCUAGCGGCAGGCUUAACACAUGCAAGUCGAGGGGUAUAGUUCUUCGGAACUAGAGACCGGCGCACGGGUGCGUAACGCGUAUGCAAUCUACCUUUUACAGAGGGAUAGCCCAGAGAAAUUUGGAUUAAUACCUCAUAGUAUAAUGACUCGGCAUCGAGAUAUUAUUAAAGUCACAACGGUAAAAGAUGAGCAUGCGUCCCAUUAGCUAGUUGGUAAGGUAACGGCUUACCAAGGCUACGAUGGGUAGGGGUCCUGAGAGGGAGAUCCCCCACACUGGUACUGAGACACGGACCAGACUCCUACGGGAGGCAGCAGUGAGGAAUAUUGGACAAUGGGCGCAAGCCUGAUCCAGCCAUGCCGCGUGCAGGAUGACGGUCCUAUGGAUUGUAAACUGCUUUUAUACGAGAAGAAACACUACUUCGUGAAGUAGCUUGACGGUAUCGUAAGAAUAA